AGAGACAGCAUCGCCGCGGGAAUACGUAGGGUGCGAGCGUUAAUCGGAAUUACUGGGCGUAAAGCGUGCGCAGGCGGUUGUGUAAGACAGGUGUGAAAUCCCCGGGCUUAACCUGGGAACUGUGCUUGUGACUGCACAGCUAGAGUAUGGCAGAGGGGGGUGGAAUUCCACGUGUAGCAGUGAAAUGCGUAGAGAUGUGGAGGAACACCGAUGGCGAAGGCAGCCCCCUGGGCCAAUACUGACGCUCAUGCACGAAAGCGUGGGGAGCAAACAGGAUUAGAUACCCCCGUAGUCCCUGUCUCUUAUACA
This 309-nucleotide ribosomal RNA is filed under the name uncultured bacterium. RNAcentral's name for it is "partial 16S ribosomal RNA". It matches the Rfam family "Bacterial small subunit ribosomal RNA", at positions 504 to 808 of the family's 1533-position model. The record is from RNAcentral.